Molecule: RNA transcript, 2524 nt
Organism: Eucalyptus grandis
Lineage: Eukaryota; Viridiplantae; Streptophyta; Magnoliopsida; Myrtales; Myrtaceae
Exons: 4
Source: RefSeq, a predicted model, not a curated record
AGGAGUACGAGGUGUUCCUGAGCUUCAGGGGGCCGGACACUCGCACGGGGUUUACCGAUUGCCUCUACCACGACAUGCUCAGUGCCGGAACCCGCGUCUACCGAGAUGACGAGGAGCUCCGCGUCGGCAGGGAGAUCGGCGGCGAGCUCAUGCGGGCGCUCGACGUGUCCAAGAUCUGCGUGCCCAUCUUCUCCAGGGACUACGCGUCGAGCUCGUGGUGCCUCCGCGAGGUCGCCCACAUGGUUGACUGCGUGGCUCGGUCGAAGGGGAAUAAGGAGAUCUUGCCGGUGUUCUUCAACGCGUCGCCUUCGGAUGUGAAGCUCAGGACUGGGCUGUACAGGAAUGCCAUGGCCAAGCACAGGAAGAAGUUUGGGGAUGAGGAAGCGAAGAGGUGGGGGGAUGCUCUUGUUGAAGUUGCUGAAUUGAAGGGAUGGGACCUCAAAACGAGAGGGCAUGGGGAAACUAUAUAGUUGAUCAUCCGAGAGGUUUAGGUUAAGUUGAAGAUAAAACAUAAGUAUGUGACAAAUCAGCUGGCUGGAGUGGAUGAUCAUGUAGAAGACAUAAUUAAACUGUUGGAUGUUGACUGUGAUGGUGUUUGUUUUGUUGGUAUUCAUGGGAUGGGUGGUGUUGGCAAAACAACUUGCGAAGGUUGUCUUCAACCAGCUCUGUUCAUACUUCGAAGAUUGCUGCUUUCUUGGAGAUGUUCAAUAAUCAUCAGUAAAAGGGGGCCUUGUAAAUUUGCAGAAACAGUUAUAUUGUGACACUCUUGACUCUAGAUACAUGGACAACAUUCAUGACAUUGAUGAUGGGAUUAACCAGAUCAUGACCAGAUACUGUAGUCCCCGAAAACGAAUUGCUGAUUCUCUGCUACUUGAGGAGGAAGAAGAAGAAGAAGAAGAAAACAACGACAAAGAGAGUGGAGUUGGCAGGAAUUCAGGAUGAGCAGUCUUCGGCAGCAAGAUGAAGCGAAGUCUUGUGGGUUCGAGUGUUCAUCGCUGGGUCGGGCAAUUUGGAGGUGGCCAGAUGGCGAAAGGAGAAGAAGGGUGUGGUGGGGCAGAUUUGAGAGAAAGAAGAGAGGGAAUUUGGCAAUGGGCUGGGGAGUCUGAGCGUUUCAAGGAUAAGACGAAGAUUGAGGAUGGUUCGUCGCACACGGUCAACUGGAAGGAUGAAUCAGGGUUCUGUACUUGGCACAUACUUCAGUCCUUUCAUGCAGCUGGUUGAACCUAAACAGAAUGAAGAUUGGUGGUAUGGACAAUUGAGCCAACUGAAUUUGUUUUGCUGGUUAUAUCUGAAGAUUAUAUUCGCUGUGGAUAAACAAAUCCGAAUAAGCCCAAACAGUGAAGCUAGGACGUGAAGGUUAAGAGGUUUCGGGGCAAGAGGCUAUAUGCUGUAGUUGGACUGGGUGUAUCCAACAUUAGUUUAUCCUUUUAAUCUUUUAUAAAGUGUACCAGCCAUGCCCAGAUGGAUCAAAUCUGGUUACCCAUGUAGGAAUAUAACCUCUUUCAGCAAUUUGAUUCACCAUAAUAGCUAGGGGUGUGCAUGUUAGUGGAACACAAAUAACAUGCCUAUUCACAUCAAACACCCCAGUUGAGACAUGAUAAGUGAUGAGUAACAUCUUCUAUACGCUCCCAUGAAAAUGUUCUCUUUCAUCACAAUUAAAUGAAGGAUUGUGAGUGAUUGUUGCUUGCAUGGUCCUCUAUCCAGGACAAUAGAGGAGAAGAGAAUAUGUUCAACCUGGAAUUUGCAGGGAGUCUUUUGUAUCUCUGUGAAUAAGAAUGAACUCCACAAAAUGGAGGAUUUGUGGAAAGAAUUGGAAGUUCUUCUACAGAACGUGAAAGAAAAAGUACAGAGGAAAGAUUCUUCUCGUGAACCAUGAGUUGACGGAAUGUGUUGCCUCUUUUUUCACUGAUAUAAAGGAAGUCUUGAGCUGCGGCAGUCACCUUUUGGAACAAUCCCAUAGAACGCUCUCUCUUUUGCCAGAACAACAUAGACAUGCAGUCAAAUCAGUCCAGUGGAUGUGAGUCUAAACAAGAACCUGUGGAAGGGAUUGAAGAAGUGGAAGCAGAAUUAGAAGCUGAGUUAGAGCGCUUGGAGCUUCAGUUGGAUGCUGAAGCCUCUUCCAAGCAGUCAUAUCAGGAAAUGAUAAAGGUUGCCCCCAAGGAAUCUGCUUCAGCAAGUGGCUGUAGCACGAGUUUUGGGAAAUUAAUGAACCCCAGAGACGAAGUGACUGAAGUUCAGAGCGGAGCAGAGUUCCCCCUGUUGAGCUCGAGAGGAGGUUGCAUGAGCAAGAUUGCAAGAACAAAUCAAAGAGCUUGAAGCAUCUUUAGGGCGUAUGGAGCAUAAGCUAUCUGAGAAAGAGAGAGAGAUCUCGUGGUGGAAAGACACUGCCCUUCUCCGGUCACAGCACGUAUCUGAGCCUUCUCAUGGUGGUCUCGCUGACAACGGAACUUCGAAAUGUUGAACUCAAAACUGAAAAAUUGAUUUGAAUGGUGUGCUGCUUUUCUUUUCCUUCUCUUAUCCUUUC